UAACACGUGGGUAACCUGCCUUAUAGUGGGGGAUAGCCUUUCGAAAGGAAGAUUAAUACCGCAUAAGAUUGUAGUAUCGCAUGAUAUAGCAAUUAAAGGAGCAAUUCGCUAUAAGAUGACCCGCGUCGCAUUAGCUAGUUGGUGAGGUAAUGGCUCACCAAGGCGACGAUGCGUAGCCGACCUGAGAGGGUGAUCGGCCACAUUGGGACUGAGACACGGCCCAGACUCCUACGGGAGGCAGCAUG
RNAcentral lists this ribosomal RNA (245 nucleotides) under uncultured bacterium. RNAcentral describes it as "partial 16S ribosomal RNA". It matches the Rfam family "Bacterial small subunit ribosomal RNA", at positions 111 to 353 of the family's 1533-position model. The record is from RNAcentral.